Molecule: long non-coding RNA, 1047 nt
Organism: Photinus pyralis (common eastern firefly)
Lineage: Eukaryota; Metazoa; Arthropoda; Insecta; Coleoptera; Lampyridae
Exons: 2
Source: RefSeq, a predicted model, not a curated record
CAGGCACCAUAUGCGUCAUCCACACAUAUGUUCGCUGUUUUCAUUACCAAAUUGAAAGUGAAAGUGAUCGCUGAGAGCUUUCCCGUGUAAAAAAAAGAGGCGCUAGUUGAAUCAAUAGACUACGAAGAGAUACUGAACUUCACCAGUGCAGAAAGCAUGACCGAAGCUACGAAUAAAAACAGUGAGGUUCAAACACAAAGAAUCAUUCUAUUUGUUUGCCUUACAUUUGGUUUCUUGGCCGACCUGGCAAUUGUCUGCACGAUGUUGUGGUUCAAGAAAAUGCGAACCCCACUAAAUAUCUUAAUUGCGAACUGGGCAAUUUUGGAUCUUUGUGGAAUACUAAUGGCGCCUACCGGUUACACAUUAGCGUCAAUUCUGGAUCACCUCACCAUACCCUCGCGAUUAUCGUGUUUCCUACUCCAAAUGGGAUUAGUAAUACAUUUUAUGACUAUUAUGUCCGUUUUUAUCAUUCUUGUUACUUGGUAUCUUUUCGUAUAUUUUUCAAAAUUUAAGAAAUAUGUAGGGAUUUACUUCAAGUUCGUGUUAGUCAUGAUUUGGGGAACUGUGUUAAUUUUACUAAUCAUUUUAAUCACUCAUCAGUGCUUUAAUCAUGACUUCGAAUCGGAAAUUAUGAGAGGGCAAUACGUAACGGUAGCUUUUUUAUUAGUUUCCAUUAUCAUUGCUCGUUUUAUUAACGUUUUGAGGAAAACCGAUGGACAGCCUGUCGAAUGUUCACAGUUGCCAUUAAGUUUGUGUACCGCAUUUAUUAUUUGUUACACAUUGUCGGUCGCUCACAAAAUGCUGAUAUUCGUUCUUUGGACUUGGUAUCCAAUAUUCGAACUAAUUUCGCUGUGCAUCCUUUACUGCAAUUCUAUCGUGACUUUCAAUCUGCUAUAUUUUAAGGACAAACUCUUUAAGCUACAUGUCCGGAAAAUAUUUCACUGCAAAGAUCCAGCACCCGUGGAACAAGAGCCCUUUCCCGAAGUUUCAUUUCAUUGUCCAACUGAGCUGCGAACAAAAUGAUCAUUAUUAAAUUACACAAUAAUA